RNAcentral lists this ribosomal RNA (1343 nucleotides) under uncultured bacterium. RNAcentral describes it as "16S ribosomal RNA". It matches the Rfam family "Bacterial small subunit ribosomal RNA", at positions 28 to 1378 of the family's 1533-position model. The record is from RNAcentral.
GACGAACGCUGGCGGCGUGCUUAACACAUGCAAGUCGAACGGAAAGGCCCUGCUUUUGUGGGGUGCUCGAGUGGCGAACGGGUGAGUAACACGUGAGUAACCUGCCCUUGACUUUGGGAUAACUUCAGGAAACUGGGGCUAAUACCGGAUAGGAGCUCCUGCUGCAUGGUGGGGGUUGGAAAGUUUCGGCGGUUGGGGAUGGACUCGCGGCUUAUCAGCUUGUUGGUGGGGUAGUGGCUUACCAAGGCUUUGACGGGUAGCCGGCCUGAGAGGGUGACCGGCCACAUUGGGACUGAGAUACGGCCCAGACUCCUACGGGAGGCAGCAGUGGGGAAUAUUGCACAAUGGGCGGAAGCCUGAUGCAGCAACGCCGCGUGCGGGAUGACGGCCUUCGGGUUGUAAACCGCUUUCGCCUGUGACGAAGCGUGAGUGACGGUAAUGGGUAAAGAAGCACCGGCUAACUACGUGCCAGCAGCCGCGGCGAUACGUAGGGUGCGAGCGUUGUCCGGAUUUAUUGGGCGUAAAGGGCUCGUAGGUGGUUGAUCGCGUCGGAAGUGUAAUCUUGGGGCUUAACCCUGAGCGUGCUUUCGAUACGGGUUGACUUGAGGAAGGUAGGGGAGAAUGGAAUUCCUGGUGGAGCGGUGGAAUGCGCAGAUAUCAGGAGGAACACCAGUGGCGAAGGCGGUUCUCUGGGCCUUUCCUGACGCUGAGGAGCGAAAGCGUGGGGAGCGAACAGGCUUAGAUACCCUGGUAGUCCACGCUGUAAACGGUGGGUACUAGGUGUGGGGUCCAUUCCACGGGUUCCGUGCCGUAGCUAACGCUUUAAGUACCCCGCCUGGGGAGUACGGCCGCAAGGCUAAAACUCAAAGGAAUUGACGGGGCCCCGCACAAGCGGCGGAGCAUGCGGAUUAAUUCGAUGCAACGCGUAGAACCUUACCUGGGUUUGACAUGGAUCGGGAGCGCUCAGAGAUGGGUGUGCCUCUUUUGGGGUCGGUUCACAGGUGGUGCAUGGCUGUCGUCAGCUCGUGUCGUGAGAUGUUGGGUUAAGUCCCGCAACGAGCGCAACCCUUGUUCACUGUUGCCAGCACGUUAUGGUGGGGACUCAGUGGAGACCGCCGGGGUCAACUCGGAGGAAGGUGGGGAUGACGUCAAGUCAUCAUGCCCCUUAUGUCCAGGGCUUCACGCAUGCUACAAUGGCUGGUACAGAGAGUGGCGAGCCUGUGAGGGUGAGCGAAUCUCGGAAAGCCGGUCUCAGUUCGGAUUGGGGUCUGCAACUCGACCUCAUGAAGUCGGAGUCGCUAGUAAUCGCAGAUCAGCAACGCUGCGGUGAAUACGUUCCCGGG